GGAAUGUUAACUCCAUCCCAGCCAGAGCUGAACGCAGGGCUCCAGGUGGGGUCUCACGAGAGCAGAGCACAGGGGGAGAAUCGCCUCCCUCGACCUGCUGGCCACGCUGCUUUUGAUGCAGACCAAGAGCUGCAAACACAGGCCUGAGCACUCUCCUGGAAUGCACUAGGAGCAACAAUCACCAAAAGUCCUGAUUUGAGGAAACUUCAACGUGGGAGAUGAGGAAGGCCUCAGGAGACAAAACCAAAGGACUGGAGCCAAUCUAAGGCCCGCACCGCUCCUGCCAGAAGCCCGGCUGUGCAUGGCAAUGGGGGAAGACCACGGAUAAGAGCCUGUGGGAAAAUAGCUGAACCAUUUGUGGCCAGCACAAAAGCAGAUGCUGAAGAACCACUGACAUGGACUUCAGAUUCGGAGAAAGCUUUCAUAAUCCUGUAGAAAGUUUUGAUGUCAGCACCCACACUCAAGAUGCUAAAUUACAUUUUCAGAGACUCCACAAGUACGAACUGCUGUUGAUGACAGCAGAUAACAUCCUCUUGAGAAGAUGCAAAUCCUUGAACCUGGCAACCUUGUUACCAUUGGUGGAUGAAGGGGACCCACAUCAUGGCUGCAUAGAGCAGGUGAGCCUUGACCCUCAAGGAGUCAGCCCUGAGAGACAUCACACCUCAGAAGUGUCCCAGCUUAGGGAAACUGAGGGUCACAUCCUGCUGUGAUUCCUGGAGAGCUCCGUCAUUUCUCCACGGGGGAUUUCUAUGGGUACCUGUUUCAAGGCAGUACCCCCUUUGUUCAUGGUCAUGGUGUUGAGCAUGCACUUGGUGCUCUGUUAUUGAUGUGCUGUCUGGUUCAAGGAAUGGGCACAUCAAGGCCUUCUGUGGCUCAUAAACCUGAGGAAGACUUACGUCAAGUGCAGGAGAAGAGCAUACCUGCCACAAUAGGAUGGCCCAAAGCACUCACCUUUAUGGAAUGCAGAGGCAGGCAGUAUAAUGAGGUUCUUAUUAAAAGACACGGUGACCAGGCUUGGAAUUCCAGAAAAGGUUGAUUCAAACCAGGGGAGCCAUUUCACAGCUCAGGUUUUAAAAAGGUGAUGUGAAACAUUAGGCGUCACCUAAUACCUGUAUACCCCGUAUCAACCACCAUCGUCAAGGAAAGUUGAAUGAAUGAAUCAGAGCUUGAAAAAUACUGUAUUUAAUACUUGUGCAGAAACCGAUCUGAAGAAGACAGAUGCCUUAACAAUCACUUUAAUGCAUACAAAGCAGAGGCCAAAACAGAUAGGAUUAAUGCCAGCUGGGGUAUUAUUUGGGAGAUAUUUUCAGAUUCCAAAUACUUAUGUAGCUGCAAAGACUGUCUUACUGGGAGGGGAUGAAAGGUUGACUCAGUAUGUGUUGGAGAUCCACAAAUACAUAAAAUCUUGACAAUACUAAGCUCAACUGUAGCAACCACUGUCUUUAGAAGGGAAAAUGCAGCCCUAUGAACAAGAAGAUUACAUAAAAAGAAAAAUCAGUUAAGCCUAAGGUGGGAAUGGCUUUCUUUCAGGGGGUAUUGUUGACUUCUUUUUCAUCAGUACUUGUAAGAAGGAAAAACCCUGGGAUGCACUGUUCUCAUGUGAAAUUUUCCAGGGCUGAAGAAGUCAAAAUUCCCUUGAAAAUUAUAUAGGAAAAAAAAAAAAAAA
Anser cygnoides (Swan goose) is the source of this 1666-nucleotide long non-coding RNA. The record is from Ensembl. NCBI's taxonomy places the organism in Eukaryota, Metazoa, Chordata, Aves, Anseriformes, Anatidae.